GAUCUACCUGGACAUUUACAAGGGCAGUUCCAGCUAAUUGAAACAUUAGAGACCCACCAGGAAUCGAGCCCCUGAUGAAGGGGUCAGGAUGAGAGACUCUGUGAUCUCAGCAACACCCAGAUGUUGGUCUGGCUGAUGUUCCAUGAGGACAGUAAACUUGGGAGUUUCUGAAGAUCUGGACCUGAUGGGAUCUGGGCCCCCACAACCUGGUAGACCGUGAUGCUGAGAUGAUUACUAAAAGUGGACCAGCAACCAAAUGAAGUGCUCAUGCAAUUGAAAUUGCCUUGAGGAUACAGCCUUGGGACAAUCUCUUUGGGAGUUCCUGAAGAUCUGGACCUGACGGAGUUUAGCCCCAACAACCCUGAGAACAGCAUCUUUCCAAGGAACUACCCACCCAUCAUUUUGUUGGAAAUUCUGCGUAAUGUGUGAGGACUUCAUGAGGCUGUGUCCUUGGUCUAUAUCUCCAGCCUGGCAACAUAAGAGUCUCCGUUCCCAAAGAAAGCCCAAUACUGAAUGUCACCAAGAGAAUGAUAAUCACCAAAGCAUCCAGGACAAAGGCAUGAAAAAGAAGGCAAUUAAAAGAAUUCCGCACCCACACAGUUAUUCCAGAGCUUACGAAGGUUCGACUUGAAAAGGAGGCAGCUGGCGCAGCAGAAAGAGAUGGGGCUCUUUGGGUUGGCCGAGCAUGAGGUAGGUUAUCUGCCGAAUAUAUGGCACCAAGCAAAAUGCAGACUUGGAAAAUGAAUUAGCAGUCAGAAAGCUGAGGACUUGAGGUUCAGUCUAGAGACUUGUUCCUGCCCUGAAGUAUCAUUCCAAGGCCUGAUGUUUAUUCAAGAAACCAGAAGCUGCUCCUUGGGGAAACUUAGAUGUGAAGCCAGCAUUCAUGAUGAAUUGCAUUUUUGACCCAUUGUAACAUUUAAUAUUUUUCACAUGUUAUUAACACACUGCUCUGUAACCUCUACAGUGGAGUUAGCUCUUUUCUUGCGCUUUGAACUCAACACAUAGAAAAGGUAGCCUUUUAGUUGCAUAAGUAAACAUAGUUUCCAUUUGCUUUUGUUAUCCUACUGUUUUGAAAGGCAAUAAAAACAGCUUAGCACAGACA
RNAcentral lists this long non-coding RNA (1102 nucleotides) under Monodelphis domestica (gray short-tailed opossum). Its description in RNAcentral is "lncRNA (ENSMODG00000041482.1)". Lineage: Eukaryota; Metazoa; Chordata; Mammalia; Didelphimorphia; Didelphidae. The record is from RNAcentral.